This 162-nucleotide ribosomal RNA is filed under the name Globba pendula. RNAcentral's name for it is "5.8S ribosomal RNA". It matches the Rfam family "5.8S ribosomal RNA". Rfam says of the family: 5.8S ribosomal RNA (5.8S rRNA) is a component of the large subunit of the eukaryotic ribosome. It is transcribed by RNA polymerase I as part of the 45S precursor that also contains 18S and 28S rRNA. The record is from RNAcentral. Lineage: Eukaryota; Viridiplantae; Streptophyta; Magnoliopsida; Zingiberales; Zingiberaceae.
CAAAAGACUCUCGGCAAUGGAUAUCUCGGCUCUUGCAUCGAUGAAGAACGUAGUGAAAUGCGAUACUUGGUGUGAAUUGCAGAAUCUCGUGAACCAUGAGUCUUGAACGCAAGUUGUGCCCGAGGCUUUGUGGCCAAGGCACGUCUGCUUGGGCGUCAUGGC